GAAAUGCGAUAAGUAAUGUGAAUUGCAGAAUUCAGUGAAUCAUCGAAUCUUUGAACGCACCUUGCGCUCCUUGGUAUUCCUUGGAGCAUGCCGUUUGAGUAUCAUGAAAUCUUCAAAGUAAAUCUUUUGUUAACUCAAUUGGUUUCUACUUUGGUAUUGGAGGUCUUUGCAGCUUCACACCUGCUCCUCUUUGUUCAUUAGCUGGAUCUCAGUGUUAUGCUUGGUUCCACUCGGCGUGAUAAGUUAUCUAUCGCUGAGGACACUGUAAAAGGUGGCCAAGGUAAAUGCAGAUGAACCGCUUCUAAUAGUCCAUUGACUUGGACAAUACUUUUAUGAUCUGAUCUCAAAUCAGGUAGGACUACCCGCUGAACUUAAGC
This 377-nucleotide unclassified non-coding RNA is filed under the name plant metagenome. RNAcentral describes it as "partial contains 5.8S ribosomal RNA, internal transcribed spacer 2, and large subunit ribosomal RNA". The stretch from base 1 to 104 matches the Rfam family "5.8S ribosomal RNA", at positions 50 to 154 of the family's 154-position model. The record is from RNAcentral.